AGGUUCAUAGCAGAAUGGUAAAGCAUUCGAUUGCAGAUCCAAUAGUUAUCGAUUCAAAUCAGAUUGGUCUCU
RNAcentral lists this transfer RNA (72 nucleotides) under Musa acuminata subsp. malaccensis (wild Malaysian banana). It matches the Rfam family "tRNA". Rfam says of the family: Transfer RNA (tRNA) molecules are approximately 80 nucleotides in length. The record is from Rfam by way of RNAcentral. Lineage: Eukaryota; Viridiplantae; Streptophyta; Magnoliopsida; Zingiberales; Musaceae.